This 74-nucleotide transfer RNA is filed under the name Brachybacterium alimentarium. Its description in RNAcentral is "tRNA-Glu". It matches the Rfam family "tRNA". From Rfam's summary of the family: Transfer RNA (tRNA) molecules are approximately 80 nucleotides in length. Their secondary structure includes four short double-helical elements and three loops (D, anti-codon, and T loops). Further hydrogen bonds mediate the characteristic L-shaped molecular structure. tRNAs have two regions of fundamental functional importance: the anti-codon, which is responsible for specific mRNA codon recognition, and the 3' end, to which the tRNAs corresponding amino acid is attached (by aminoacyl-tRNA synthetases). tRNAs cope with the degeneracy of the genetic code in two manners: having more than one tRNA (with a specific anti-codon) for a particular amino acid; and 'wobble' base-pairing, i.e. permitting non-standard base-pairing at the 3rd anti-codon position. Lineage: Bacteria; Bacillati; Actinomycetota; Actinomycetes; Micrococcales; Dermabacteraceae. The record is from RNAcentral. RNAcentral also lists the same sequence under 2 other names.
GCCCCGUUCGUCUAGCGGCCUAGGACGCCGCCCUCUCACGGCGGUAACACCGGUUCAAAUCCGGUACGGGGUAC